RNAcentral lists this non-coding RNA (153 nucleotides) under Chloroflexia bacterium. RNAcentral describes it as "6S RNA". It matches the Rfam family "6S / SsrS RNA". From Rfam's summary of the family: E. coli 6S RNA was the first non coding RNA to be sequenced, but its function was unknown until recently. It consists of 184 nucleotides that fold into an extended hairpin structure with a large single-stranded internal bulge. The 6S RNA specifically associates with RNA polymerase holoenzyme containing the sigma70 specificity factor. Lineage: Bacteria; Bacillati; Chloroflexota; Chloroflexia. The record is from RNAcentral.
CUGACCCUGCGGUGUUCGUGAUGUUCGACGUAGUCUUGAGCCAACAGAAAAGAGUCGGGAAUCGCCUCCGUUGGGGCAACUCAGCGACAGGAUGGUGCCCACCUGCGAAAGCAGGUUCAAGGCUCCGUUGCACACGGCACAGGCGGGGUCAGC